This 820-nucleotide ribosomal RNA is filed under the name uncultured bacterium. RNAcentral's name for it is "bacterial SSU rRNA". It matches the Rfam family "Bacterial small subunit ribosomal RNA", at positions 8 to 810 of the family's 1533-position model. The record is from RNAcentral.
AGAGUUUGAUCAUGGCUCAGAAUCAACGCUGGCGGCGUGCCUAACACAUGCAAGUCGAACGCGGUUAUCCCGCAAGGGAUAGCUGAGUGGCGAACGGGUGAGUAACACGUGGGUGACCUACCUUCGAGUGGGGGAUAACGUCCCGAAAGGGACGCUAAUACCGCAUAACAUCCUGCCUUUGAACAGGUGGAGAUCAAAGCUGGGGAUCGCAAGACCUGGCGUUUGAAGAGGGGCCCGCGUCUGAUUAGCUAGUUGGUGAGGUAACGGCCCACCAAGGCUACGAUCAGUAUCCGGCCUGAGAGGGCGGACGGACACACUGGGACUGAGACACGGCCCAGACUCCUACGGGAGGCAGCAGUGGGGAAUUGUUCACAAUGGGCGCAAGCCUGAUGACGCAACGCCGCGUGGAGGAUGAAGGUCUUCGGAUUGUAAACUCCUGUUGCUCGGGACGAAAAGCUCUGACCUAACACGUCAGGGUCUGACGGUACCGAGUGAGGAAGCCCCGGCUAACUCUGUGCCAGCAGCCGCGGUAAUACAGAGGGGGCAAGCGUUGUUCGGAAUUACUGGGCGUAAAGGGCGCGUAGGCGGCCUUCUAAGUCAGACGUGAAAUCCCCGGGCUCAACCCGGGAACUGCGUCUGAUACUGGAGGGCUUGAAUCCGGGAGAGGGAUGCGGAAUUCCAGGUGUAGCGGUGAAAUGCGUAGAUAUCUGGAGGAACACCGGUGGCGAAGGCGGCAUCCUGGACCGGUAUUGACGCUGAGGCGCGAAAGCCAGGGGAGCAAACGGGAUUAGAUACCCCGGUAGUCCUGGCCCUAAACGAU